Molecule: non-coding RNA, 115 nt
Organism: Podarcis lilfordi (Lilford's wall lizard)
Lineage: Eukaryota; Metazoa; Chordata; Lepidosauria; Squamata; Lacertidae
Source: the annotation of a GenBank genome assembly
CCAACUAAGUUUGUUCUGGGUAUAAGCUUUCGUGUGCAUGCACACUUCUGCAUGCACUGUAUCUGAAGAAGUGUGCAUGCACAUGAAAGCUUAUACCCAGAACAAACUUAGUUGG